GAUGAAGAACGCAGCGAAAUGCGAUACUUGGUGUGAAUUGCAGAAUCCCGUGAACCAUCGAGUCUUUGAACGCAAGUUGCGCCCGAAGCCAUUAGGCCGAGGGCACGCCUGCCUGGGCGUCACACGUCGUUGCCCCCCCAUCUACUCCUUCGGGAUUGCGGGGGGCGGAUGAUGGCCUCCCGUGCGCCUCGUCGCGCGGUUGGCAUAAAUGCCAAGUCCUCGGCGCCGCACGCCACGACAAUCGGUGGUUGCGAAACCUCGGUUGCCCGUCGUGUGCGGUCGUCGCGCAUCGAGGGCUCGAAAAAAUUGCCGGGCUCCGGCUCGGCUUUCAACGCGACCCCAGGUCAGGCGGGGUUACCCGCUGAAUUUAAGCAUAUCAAUAAGCGGAGGA
Molecule: unclassified non-coding RNA, 391 nt
Filed under: soil metagenome
Description: partial contains 5.8S ribosomal RNA, internal transcribed spacer 2, and large subunit ribosomal RNA
Rfam family: 5.8S ribosomal RNA (bases 1-122)
Source: RNAcentral